UUUUCAGAUCAUAAGAGUAUCGCCGAACUUCUCAUCCACAAUGGAGCCAAUGUUAAUAGUGAAAAUGAUGAGAAAAACACACCUCUUCAUUUAGCUGCUGAGAGUGGUUAUGAGAGUGUCGCUGAAUAUCUCAUCCGUGAAGGAGCAAAUGUUGAUAGUGGAAAUAAUGUGAAAAACACACCUCUUCAUUUAGCUGCUGAGAAUGGUCAUGAGAGUGUCGCUAAACUUCUCAUCCGUAAAGGAGCAAAUGUUAACGUUGAAAAUAAUUCGAAUCAGACUCCUCGUCAAGUAGCUAUUGACAAUGGUCACAAUGAGGUCGCCAAACUUUUUAUCGGUAAAGGAAACAAAAUUUAAUGAUGAGCCAUUGGAAUAGAUUCAAUUGGCUACUAACAAUGGUGACGAAUAGCUGAACCAAUUUAGCUGAAUAAUCGGAUGAUUUCCUUCGGUUCCCCUUUUCGAUUGUAGUGUAGAAUUAUUAUUAUCAUCGAUUAUUAUUCUGUCAUAAAACAGCUCAAGUUAUUUGUCUUUUUAAUUGCUUACAUUCCAUUUUUGUGACCCAAACGUACAUCCGUGCUAAAUUUGAACGCGAUUUGUAUGAGUCUAAUGCCGUAGGCAAAAUCCAAGAAUAAAAAUAAAUUAUGCAGAAAAGAUGAUAGAAAAUAAUCUAAAUUUCAAUCUGGUUUGAACAGUGUUGGUUGCUCUUGUUCACUUUCGAGUGAUAGAAGAAUCUGGUUCACUCUAGAGUAUAGAGUCUACGCGGAUGGGUUCAAUUUUUCUUGAUACGGCGUCAGACGUCAAUGUAGAAAGAACUCUUUUUCUUGAUUAUAAUCUACUGAAGAUUUAUGCACGUCAUUUAGUGCAAAAGCAUUCAUUGCCCUACCUUACGCGAGCACCAUCUAUUCGGUUUUAACAUGAAAACAAACAAAUUGAUCCAUACAGAGUUAUAAUACAAUAACAUCUCUAUGUAGAGGAAACGCUGUGUAGUUCGUUUUAUUCGGCACACUUUUUAUACACUGCCUUUAUUCCCACCGAUUCAUAUGUCGGUUGGCAGGUGGAGUCACUUUGCUUGUUUUCAUGUUCGCACCGAAUAGAUGGGACUUUCGCGUUAGGGAGGGCAAUAAAUGCAGUUUUGCA
Molecule: long non-coding RNA, 1134 nt
Organism: Sitodiplosis mosellana (orange wheat blossom midge)
Lineage: Eukaryota; Metazoa; Arthropoda; Insecta; Diptera; Cecidomyiidae
Exons: 5
Source: RefSeq, a predicted model, not a curated record